AAUGAACGCUGGCGGCAUGCCUAACACAUGCAAGUCGAACGAAGGCUUCGGCCUUAGUGGCGCACGGGUGCGUAACGCGUGGGAAUCUGCCCCUUGGUUCGGAAUAACAGUUAGAAAUGACUGCUAAUACCGGAUGAUGACGUAAGACCAAAGAUUUAUCGCCGAGGGAUGAGCCCGCGUAGGAUUAGCUAGUUGGUGUGGUAAGAGCGCACCAAGGCGACGAUCCUUAGCUGGUCUGAGAGGAUGAUCAGCCACACUGGGACCGAGACACGGCCCAGACUCCUACGGGAGGCAGCAGUGGGGAAUAUUGGACAAUGGGCGAAAGCCUGAUCCAGCAAUGCCGCGUGAGUGAUGAAGGCCUUAGGGUUGUAAAGCUCUUUUACCCGGGAUGAUAAUGACAGUACCGGGAGAAUAAGCUCCGGCUAACUCCGUGCCAGCCGCCGCCGUAA
RNAcentral lists this ribosomal RNA (449 nucleotides) under uncultured bacterium. Its description in RNAcentral is "partial 16S ribosomal RNA". It matches the Rfam family "Bacterial small subunit ribosomal RNA", at positions 29 to 523 of the family's 1533-position model. The record is from RNAcentral.